Trichobilharzia regenti is the source of this 34-nucleotide non-coding RNA. The record is from Rfam. Lineage: Eukaryota; Metazoa; Platyhelminthes; Trematoda; Strigeidida; Schistosomatidae.
CUGACGAGUCCCAAAUAGGACGAAAUGCGUCAUC